UUUUCGGACAAUGGAUGUAGAGGAAAGUGGCGGACGGGUGAGUAACGCGUGAGGAACCUGCCUUGAAGAGGGGGACAACAGUUGGAAACGACUGCUAAUACCGCAUGAUGCAUAGGGGUCGCAUGAUCUUUAUGCCAAAGAUUUAUCGCUUCAAGAUGGCCUCGCGUCUGAUUAGCUAGUUGGCGGGGUAACGGCCCACCAAGGCGACGAUCAGUAGCCGGACUGAGAGGUUGAACGGCCACAUUGGGACUGAGAUACGGCCCAGACUCC
Molecule: ribosomal RNA, 270 nt
Filed under: uncultured Oscillibacter sp.
Lineage: Bacteria; Bacillati; Bacillota; Clostridia; Eubacteriales; Oscillospiraceae
Description: partial 16S ribosomal RNA
Rfam family: Bacterial small subunit ribosomal RNA
Source: RNAcentral